CCUCCUUUCUUGGCAUGUACGCAGUCGUUCAGUACUCGUGUGUGUAUGUACGGAGGAAGAAAAAUGCCCAGUGCUAUGUCUUCGGUACCAGUGCGUUGCCUGUCGUCUGGUCCUAUCCUCAAACACUGGCACAGCU
This is a small nucleolar RNA of Megalops cyprinoides (Indo-Pacific tarpon), 136 nucleotides long. RefSeq annotates it as small nucleolar RNA SNORA57. The transcript has a single exon. The record is from RefSeq and is a predicted model, not a curated record. NCBI's taxonomy places the organism in Eukaryota, Metazoa, Chordata, Actinopteri, Elopiformes, Megalopidae.